RNAcentral lists this ribosomal RNA (327 nucleotides) under uncultured Lachnospiraceae bacterium. RNAcentral describes it as "bacterial SSU rRNA". It matches the Rfam family "Bacterial small subunit ribosomal RNA", at positions 28 to 339 of the family's 1533-position model. The record is from RNAcentral. Lineage: Bacteria; Bacillati; Bacillota; Clostridia; Lachnospirales; Lachnospiraceae.
GAUGAACGCUGGCGGCGUGCCUAACACAUGCAAGUCGAACGGGAACUCCUAGAUGAAGUUUCGAUGGAUUUUAGGAAAUUCUAGUGGCGGACGGGUGAGUAACGCGUGGGUAACCUGCCCUUAAGAGAGGAAUAACAACGAGAAAUCGGUGCUAAUACCUCAUAUGCUUACAGUAUCGCAUGGUACAGUGAGGAAAGAUUUAUCGCUUAAGGAUGGACCCGCGUUUGAUUAGCCAGUUGGCAGGGUAACGGCCUACCAAAGCAACGAUCAAUAGCCGGCCUGAGAGGGUGAACGGCCACAUUGGGACUGAGACACGGUCCAAACUCC